CAGUCUGCCUGCCUUGGCCUCCCAAAGUCCUGGGAUUACAGGCAUGAGCCACCGUGCCUGGCUUUCACAGGGUUUUAAAUUUUUAACUGGACGCUUAUAUAUGUUCAGGGCAUUCUGCCGUAAGUACUCUGUCCUGUUCUGUUCUUUGAAUUGUAUACCAGCAGCAAAUAAAAUAGAAGCUUCCAGCAUAUAACAGGCAUCCUCUCCAAUUUUCUUAUUUUAGCCAAUAAUGACAUACCAGUUGAAGAAAUCCAUUCUCCAUUUACAACAAUACUUUUGAGAACAUUUUUGAAUUAUCUCCUGCAUUUGGCGUACCACAUUUAUCACGAAGAAUUCCAGUAAGUACUAUUUAUGGCUCCUUGUUGGGGGACAGGACACAGCCAAGCUGUACUGUUGUCAUAGUGCCCUCUUUUCUUCAGCAGCCAUUUUUUUUUUUUUUGAGGUGGAGUCUUGCUGUGUCGCCUAGGCUGGAGUGCAGUGGCAUGAUCUCGGCUCACUGCAACACCCAGCCUUCCCUUUAUAUACUCUAUACCUUAGAAGGAGAUUAUUAAGUCUAGCCCAUGCUCAAGGAGAAGGGAAUUCCCUCUUUUGGAGGAGAAGUAAUUAUGAUAUCUUUUGAUCAUUAUCACAGAAAGAGAAGCCCGUCGCUCUUCUUGUGUUUUACAAAACUGAUGACCGAGAACAUUCGUCCAAAUGCCUGCCAGGUAAAAGGCAAUUUAUUCCUUGAGCAGCAGCGGACAUUGUACUCUAUGAGUUACAUCAGUAAGUGCUGGGAGAUUUAUCUAGCUUACUGCAGGCCCCGCGCAGCACCUCCCCACGAGCUUACCAUGAAGACGAGACACUUCCUCUGGAUGCUGAAAGUAACCACCUAAGUUUGAUAUUUUCUACUUACAGGCACUUUGAUUUUAAUGAAAGAAAGGCACGAUAUUCUAGCUAUGAUUUGCAAACAAUCAGUUGAAGAUCUGGGUGCAUUUUCAUGACCAUUGAAUGUUUACUGAUUCUCUUGGCAGAAGAGUGGUCUAUGGUUGUGGAAGGAACAGAAACAGCCGUCACCUGCCGGAUGUGCUUGAAGAUUAGGGCAAGACAAUGGCCCGUGGCCUACAAUAUCUUUUUUUGAGAUGGAGUUUUGCUCUUGUCAUCCAGGCUGGAGUGCAGUGGCAUGAUCUCAGCUCACUGCAACCUCCACCUCCCAGGUUCAAGUG
This 1202-nucleotide long non-coding RNA is filed under the name Aotus nancymaae (Ma's night monkey). RNAcentral describes it as "lncRNA (ENSANAG00000039426.1)". The record is from RNAcentral. Lineage: Eukaryota; Metazoa; Chordata; Mammalia; Primates; Aotidae.